UCUUUUUUGAUUUCUGGCAAUUGUUUUAAGUUGAAUUCUUACAAAUAAAUCUUGCAUUUAUUUUAAAUUUAAAGUAGCUUUAAAUUUACAAAUAAUUAUUAUAAAUUCAAUUGGAAUUAGCUUGUACAAUUCAUGGGAUUCCAAUUCACUUCAAGGGAAUUUAUAAAGGCAUUUUAGAAUUCAACUGCAGAUUCACAGAACUUUCUAGAUGCAUCUAGAAAGUUCUCAAUGUAAAUCAAAUGGGUGGGUGGGUUUUGCACGACCCUCCCAGGGCUGCUGCCCGCGCUAUAAAAGGCGCUCCGUCCGCUGGCUCGAUGCAGAAGGCUGACUGACCUCAGAGAAAUCAGAGGACACCUGGACUUCCAGUGCAGUUCCGGACACCCGUCCGAACCCUUCGCACUCGUCCGAGCCGUCCCAAGGCCCCGACCGCUGCCUUUGUCCCGACGCUGUCUCGUCCGAGGACAGCCGGAAGGCCGACCGCGUCCCGAGCCCCUCGAGCGGCACGCCUGUGUCCAUCGUACUGUCCGGGGUGUGGCCGAGCCGUCCGAAGCCGUACGGAGCAGUUUUGCCAGCUCCUUCCUGUCCGAGGAAUCGGGCGCCGACGUGGCACGCCGCCAGCGAGCGCUCGGACGAAGGCGUCCGAACGUCCGCCGCCAGAGACCCGCACGCCGUGGGCCCCGGCCGCGCCGAGAGCCGCCGCCGACCUGCAGGGAGCCGUCCGGGUUCCCAGCAAGGACGUUUCCAGGGCAGCCUGCCGGCCUACCCAGGGAACACCGCUCCCAUUUGUUGAUUUUAAGUGACACUAUACGGACAAUUUUGAGCCAGUGAAUUUACCCUAUCCAGCCAGAAUUGUUGUGAAUACAAUAAAGCCCGUGUGUAAGCCAA
This is an RNA transcript of Neocloeon triangulifer, 885 nucleotides long. RefSeq lists it as uncharacterized. The transcript has 3 exons. The record is from RefSeq and is a predicted model, not a curated record. NCBI's taxonomy places the organism in Eukaryota, Metazoa, Arthropoda, Insecta, Ephemeroptera, Baetidae.